Molecule: ribosomal RNA, 301 nt
Filed under: uncultured bacterium
Lineage: Bacteria
Description: partial 16S ribosomal RNA
Rfam family: Bacterial small subunit ribosomal RNA
Source: RNAcentral
CAGUAGCCGCAGUAAUACGAAGGGUGCAAGCGUUAAUCGGAAUUACUGGGCGUAAAGCGUGCGUAGGCGGUGAGUUAAGUCUGCUGUGAAAUCCCCGGGCUCAACCUGGGAAUGGCAGUGGAUACUGGCUCGCUAGAGUGUGUCAGAGGAUGGUGGAAUUCCCGGUGUAGCGGUGAAAUGCGUAGAGAUCGGGAGGAACAUCAGUGGCGAAGGCGGCCAUCUGGGACAACACUGACGCUGAGGCACGAAAGCGUGGGGAGCAAACAGGAUUAGAUACCCCAGUAGUCCCUGUCUCUUAUAC